Molecule: ribosomal RNA, 521 nt
Filed under: uncultured bacterium
Lineage: Bacteria
Description: bacterial SSU rRNA
Rfam family: Bacterial small subunit ribosomal RNA
Source: RNAcentral
AAAUGAAUUGACGGGGAUCCGCACAAGUGGUGGAGCAUGUGGUUUAAUUCGAUGGUAAGCGAGGCACCUCACCAAGGUUUGAAACUACGCUGCAAGCCCCAGAAAUGGGGAAGCUUUCGAAGGUGCGUAGCAGGUGCUGCAUGGUUGUCGUCAGCUCGUGUCGUAAGAUGUUCUGUUAAGUCAGAAAACGAGCGCAACCCUUGUAAAGUGUUUCAUGUGUCACUUUAGACUGCCCAGCUCAGAGUUUGGAAUCAGGAGCAAUCCCGAUUCUGAGUUUUGAGCUGGGAGGAAGGAGAGGAUGACGUCAAAUCAGCAUGGCCCUUUGACACCUUGGGCGACACACGUGCUACAAUGGUCGGGUAUAAAGGGUAGCCAACCCGUAAGGGGGAGCCAAUCCCAAAAAACCGAUCUCAGUUCGGAUUGAGGUCUGCAACUCGACCUCAUGAAGCUGGAAUCACUAGUAAUCGCGUAUCAGCCAUGGCGCGGUGAAUACGUUCUCGGAUCUUGUACACACCGCCCGU